RNAcentral lists this ribosomal RNA (454 nucleotides) under Salmonella enterica subsp. enterica serovar Enteritidis. RNAcentral's name for it is "partial 23S ribosomal RNA". The stretch from base 79 to 454 matches the Rfam family "Bacterial large subunit ribosomal RNA", at positions 1 to 899 of the family's 2925-position model. The record is from RNAcentral. Lineage: Bacteria; Pseudomonadati; Pseudomonadota; Gammaproteobacteria; Enterobacterales; Enterobacteriaceae.
CCACCACCAAAGCAUUUGCUGUACCGCGUUGACGGAGCGAAGCGACGUCAAACCGAUAAAACAGCAGUGUAAAGUGAGCCGCAGGGCGCUUUGCGCGACAGCGCAAAGGCAGGCGGUUUCGCGUAGCGAAAGCGAAUGCUUUGGGGUGGGGUGACUGCGUACCUUUUGUAUAAUGGGUCAGCGACUUAUAUUCUGUAGCAAGGUUAACCGAAUAGGGGAGCCGGAGGGAAACCGAGUCUUAACCGGGCGUUAAGUUGCAGGGUAUAGACCCGAAACCCGGUGAUCUAGCCAUGGGCAGGUUGAAGGUUGGGUAACACUAACUGGAGGACCGAACCGACUAAUGUUGAAAAAUUAGCGGAUGACCUGUGGCUGGGGGUGAAAGGCCAAUCAAACCGGGAGAUAGCUGGUUCUCCCCGAAAGCUAUUUAGGUAGCGCCUCGUGAAUUCAUCUCCGG